Gadus macrocephalus (Pacific cod) is the source of this 357-nucleotide long non-coding RNA. RefSeq lists it as uncharacterized. Lineage: Eukaryota; Metazoa; Chordata; Actinopteri; Gadiformes; Gadidae. The record is from RefSeq and is a predicted model, not a curated record. The transcript has 4 exons.
GGCCAUGGAAAGAGACGACUGGUUUGGACAUCGAGGUAAAUAUAUUGUUGUUUAAUGAUACUGUGAAACUAGAAGUACAAAUACUAACUCAUUUCUGACAUGAUAGGGCUUUCCACAGCAAAAGUAUGGCAUCGACUGUGGCAUCUUCAUGUUGAUGUAUGCCCUUUACAAAGUCAUGGAUGCACCCUUUGACUUCACUGUUACCGAUAUGCCAUCGUUGAGAAAAUGGUGGCGUAUCAUGCUGAUUGAAAGUCUUGACCUUGGAAGCCAUGGCAAACUCUUUGCCCACUGGACUGACACAUCUAAGGCUCUUCUUUGGGGUGAGGUGCCACCAGUUUUUAAACUGAAGAAGAGAAG